Maniola jurtina (meadow brown) is the source of this 1742-nucleotide long non-coding RNA. RefSeq lists it as uncharacterized. The record is from RefSeq and is a predicted model, not a curated record. Lineage: Eukaryota; Metazoa; Arthropoda; Insecta; Lepidoptera; Nymphalidae. The transcript has 2 exons.
AGCUUUGGUCUGGUGAUCAUAACACACAACGCUGCGGUAUGCGGUAUGCGUUGCCGGACACUCAAUCAUAUGAAAAACGUCGAGUGUUCUCUUGUUCCGUCGCAGUAUGCGUCAGCGGCGAGGGGCAAGCGCGGUGAAGUGGGGAGGUGUACUCCCGCACAACGCGGUGUCAUUCUCGGUUCAACGCUGCGGUGUGCGGUGUGCGUCACGAGUGUGCGUCACGGGUCAAUAUGGAAUUUUUCGAAGACAAUUUAAUAGAAUUAGUUCGUAACUAUUCUUCUUUAUAUAAAAAUUUAUAAAAAACAAUUCUUCUUCUUCCUCUUCAAGCAAAGCACAAAUUACAGAAAAAUUGUUCAUGUUCACGUCUACCUUGGUAGCUGCGGCAAAAUCAAAUGACCACCACCACCGCAGGGACGCUAAAUGCUGCGUCGUGACGCUGCGUUACGACGCAUACCGCAGCGUUGUGCGUUAAGAUCACCAGACCAAAGCUUUAUGGUGUGUUUCGUCACGUCAUUGGGUGCGUCGUGUUCCGGUGCGCUGCUCGUAGAAGCCAGUUCAAGGGGGAUGGGUAUGUACAGUUGCGCUGCGUUUGGUGCGUUUUUGCAUUAGGCCCAUAUCAGGUGAAACAAACACGUUCAUACUUCGAUGAACAUAUAAGGGAUAUAUGGCAUGUAUGUGGUUGAAGUAUGGGAGCGAAGUUUGGGCAGCCAAGAAGACCCAUGAACAAAAGCUGCACACUACCGAAAUGCGCAUGCUGAGAUGGGCGGGAGAAGUAAUACUCAAGGAUAAAGUACGGAACGAAUAUAAGAGGAAGCUUUAAAGUUGCACCCAUAACCGACAAAAUAUCGGAAUCAAGGCUCAGAUGGUACGGACACCUAAGUGCCUUUCCAUGGCUGCAAGAAAGAGGGGUAGGGGAAGACCGCAAACUACCUGGAUGACAAAUGUCCAAAGGGACAUGAAACGCCUCGGCCUCAUUGACCAAGACGCCAACACGCGAUUUACAUGGCGCCGCAUGAAAGUAAGGCGAGGGCAAAGAAGAAGAUGUGGUUGAAUGAAGUAUGUCCGGAACUGGAACAUUCCCAAGAAAUGAUAAUACGGGUUGGUGGUAAUCAUCCCUAUUUAUUAAGAGGACGUAUUAAGUCUCGUCAUGUUUCCCAGACAAUUUAUUUUGCCUAUGUUUUAUUUGACACUGAACAUAAUAGUGUUUCUGUCCUGCUGGGCUAACAUGCGGCUCGCGAGAAAAUUUUGUGGUCUUAUCUCUCUAUGUCUACCGAAGCUAACAUGGUUGCAAACGUCAUUCGGCUCGUGGCGUCACAAGUAGAGAUAAACUUAAUUUUUACUUAUCUGUGGUAUUUUCGUCUACGAGCACUAACAUGCUAACGUAAUUUUCUCGACUUUUGUCAUUUAAAAUAGGGAUAAUUGUCGUUGUUGUUUCUAGCGGACGAGAUAAUUUGUCUUCAAUAGAUUAACGGAAUUACGAUGGCGGUUAAUUUUUUAUAAUUAUUUAAUAUCAUUAUACGAUGAGCGAGAGGCGCGCAAAAUCCAGCGCAGACGAACAAGGAAUGUGCGUGAUCCACUUUGGCGGAUUUCGAAGAGGCAUUCUGUCGUCACACCUCGACGCAAGUUAGAUUUAGGUUCGAUUAGCUUUAGGCCGUCAUAAUGUAAGAGUCUGCAUCUAACAUUGAUGCAGACGUUAGGUUAGGUUAAAAUAUAAGAACUUUAUGAUAAACUUAGUAGUAAUU